Long non-coding RNA from Canis lupus familiaris (dog), 1198 nucleotides. RefSeq lists it as uncharacterized. The transcript has 2 exons. The record is from RefSeq and is a predicted model, not a curated record. Lineage: Eukaryota; Metazoa; Chordata; Mammalia; Carnivora; Canidae.
AUUAAUCUCUUUUAGGGUAGGGUUUGGGAUUUUAUUUUUUUAUUUAUUUUUUAAGAUUUUUUUAUUUUAAAGAGUGGGGGGGAAGGGCAGGGGAGAGAAUCUCAGGCAGACUGCCCGCUGAGCACACAGUAGGGCUCCAUCUCACCAUCCUGAGAUCAUGACCCUGAGAUCAAGACCUGAGCUGAAAUCAACAGUUGGACACUUAACUGACUGAGCCAACUGAGUGCCCCAGGCUUGGGCUUUUAAGUCAAAGUAGAAGAUCAUGAGAAGCAAAGGACCAAGGACCAAGGACUGAAAGACGGACUUUCCCAAGAUCUAUAACCAGCUAGUAGCAGGAACUAUUACAGAGAAGAAAUAUGGGUACUAUGGUGGAUCAUUUAUAUACUUUAUUCAAAGAGUAAGGAUAUGAGACAUGAUCUGAUGUGCAUUUUCCAAAGAUCUUCUGGCUUCAGUGAACAAAUCAGAUUCAAGAUAUUUUUGGCAAUGGACUGAUGUGCAUGAUAGGGGAGACUCAAAGGUCACUGGCUUAUGUAACUGGAUGGAUAACACAUGUCAUUACAGAUACAUGGAGGCCAUGGGAGAAAGCUCUGGAGCACUGGGGAUUAUGAAUUUAGUUUAUAACAUGUUAAUUUUGACAUGCCUGUGAGGAUGUUAAGAAGAUAGCUGGAUAUGCGGGUAUGGACCUAAGAGAUGAAGUAUGGACUGGAGCACUUGCUAGACCUAGAGUUUUAUAUGCUGUUCUGCACUUAAAGCCAACAAUGAAAAAUAUGUCAAAAGUUCAUAGAAGGCCUUCAAGUGAGAGAUUCAAAAUAAAAUCUAUAGGAAAGGUCAUAUCAGUGGUUCCCAAACUUCUAGAUACCACAGACCAGUAAAAUUAAGACAGAUAAACAAUUGGGGAAUUGGUAUAAACUUGCCAACUUUUGUCAACUAAAGACAUUUUUUAAAAAUACUACCCACUGUCGUCAUAAUGUCAAAGAAAAAUAUUUCCUACUCUCUCCCUCCCAAAAAACAUCCCUGUAUUAGGUAAUUCUCUUAAAAAGGAAUAAAUUUAGCUUUAUGAAGCAAUAUCCUUUAUAUUAUUUUUCUGUAAAUCUGUGAAAACUUCAUCUCACACCAGUACUGUGGGAAAAUGUUUGGCAAGAAGUGGGAUACAGGACUUGGGAUAUUUCAGCUUCAUGAAUAAAGAAAGAUGAAAGUU